GUAGGGAAUCUUCCACAAUGGGCGCAAGCCUGAUGGAGCAACGCCGCGUGAAUGAAGAAGGUCUUCGGAUCGUAAAAUUCUGUUGUUAGAGAAGAAUAUGAGUAAUAGUAACUGAUUAUUCACUGACGGUAUCUAACCAGCAAGUCACGGCUAACUACGUGCCAGCAGCCGCGGUAAUACGUAGGUGGCAAGCGUUGUCCGGAUUUAUUGGGCGUAAAGGGAACGCAGGCGGUUUUUUAAGUCUGAUGUGAAAGCCUUCGGCUUAACCGGAGAUGUGCAUUGGAAACUGGAAGACUUGAGUGCAGAAGAGGAGAGUGGAACUCCAUGUGUAGCGGUGAAAUGCGUAGAUAUAUGGAAGAACACCAGUGGCGAAAGCGGCUCUCUGGUCUGUAACUGACGCUGAGGUUCGAAAGCAUGGGUAGCGAACAGGAUUAGAAACCCUAGUAGUCC
This 450-nucleotide ribosomal RNA is filed under the name uncultured bacterium. RNAcentral describes it as "bacterial SSU rRNA". It matches the Rfam family "Bacterial small subunit ribosomal RNA", at positions 354 to 796 of the family's 1533-position model. The record is from RNAcentral.